RNAcentral lists this ribosomal RNA (250 nucleotides) under uncultured bacterium. RNAcentral's name for it is "partial 16S ribosomal RNA". It matches the Rfam family "Bacterial small subunit ribosomal RNA", at positions 355 to 620 of the family's 1533-position model. The record is from RNAcentral.
UCAAGAAUCUUCCUCAAUGGACGAAAGUCUGAAGGAGCAAUGCCGCGUGAUCGAUGAAGCCCCUCGGGGUGUAAAGAUCUUUUAUCAGGGACGAAUUAUUGACGGUACCUGAAGAAUAAGUCACUGCUAACUUCGUGCCAGCAGCAGCGGUAAUACGAAGGUGGCAAGCGUUACCCGGAUUGAUUGGGCGUAAAGCGUCCGUAGACUGUUUGAAAAGUUCUUGGUUAAAUCUGUGGGCUCAACCCAUAGA